RNAcentral lists this ribosomal RNA (429 nucleotides) under Staphylococcus aureus. RNAcentral's name for it is "bacterial SSU rRNA". It matches the Rfam family "Bacterial small subunit ribosomal RNA", at positions 388 to 809 of the family's 1533-position model. Lineage: Bacteria; Bacillati; Bacillota; Bacilli; Caryophanales; Staphylococcaceae. The record is from RNAcentral.
GGAGCAACGCCGCGUGAGUGAUGAAGGUCUUCGGAUCGUAAAACUCUGUUAUUAGGGAAGAACAUAUGUGUAAGUAACUGUGCACAUCUUGACGGUACCUAAUCAGAAAGCCACGGCUAACUACGUGCCAGCAGCCGCGGUAAUACGUAGGUGGCAAGCGUUAUCCGGAAUUAUUGGGCGUAAAGCGCGCGUAGGCGGUUUUUUAAGUCUGAUGUGAAAGCCCACGGCUCAACCGUGGAGGGUCAUUGGAAACUGGAAAACUUGAGUGCAGAAGAGGAAAGUGGAAUUCCAUGUGUAGCGGUGAAAUGCGCAGAGAUAUGGAGGAACACCAGUGGCGAAGGCGACUUUCUGGUCUGUAACUGACGCUGAUGUGCGAAAGCGUGGGGAUCAAACAGGAUUAGAUACCCUGGUAGUCCACGCCGUAAACGA